AGUUUUCAGAUUUUUCUUAAAUCCGGUCGAACCCUAUUUUUUGGAUUUGACUGGGUUUGGAUAUGGUGCAUACCAAUGGGGUCGGAUGGAUUUUGCCAUCCCUAACUGGCAAAAAGUUACGAAGCUGUAAAAGCAGAUCUUUCUCAACUAUUUACAGGUAACUAAAUAUGAAUUAUGUUGUAUUUUUUAAAUACAAAUCCUCAUCAAAUUUAUUUUAUAUUUAAUUGGAUACUUAAUUUUUAUUUUUAAAAUUUUAUAUGUUGUAUAUUAUUUGGGCAACAUGAUUUUGAUAUCGAGG
RNAcentral lists this long non-coding RNA (298 nucleotides) under Elaeis guineensis (African oil palm). Its description in RNAcentral is "long non-coding RNA (EGUI_LNC002801)". Lineage: Eukaryota; Viridiplantae; Streptophyta; Magnoliopsida; Arecales; Arecaceae. The record is from RNAcentral.